This 1348-nucleotide long non-coding RNA is filed under the name Heterocephalus glaber (naked mole-rat). Its description in RNAcentral is "lncRNA (ENSHGLG00000044730.1)". Lineage: Eukaryota; Metazoa; Chordata; Mammalia; Rodentia; Bathyergidae. The record is from RNAcentral.
CCAGCUCCUCUGAGAUGCUGACAGGAAGCAGGGAGGGAUCCCGUCCAUAGCCAGAGCUUACAAACCUUCCGCUGCGGCUUAAUUCUGGCCCAAGCAGAUAUAUUUGGUUACACGUUAGGGAUUUGUUUUCACUCAACACUAAAUUUUAUUAAGAAUUGAAUGAUGAAGUUCAAUGAUGACACGGAGUUAGGGAAACAAAUAUUGCCUGGCUUUUACCUUGCUGGGAAUCUGCUACACGAUUCUGAAAACUCUCAAACUAGACAUGCUUUAUUCCCUAUGAGUAUUUUCCUAACUACAUUCUAAAAGUCAAUGACACUGUCAUUUUAUGUACAUGUACUAACCCAACUUUGCCAAUUUUUAAAAUCACGUGGUUAAGUAAAAUUCACUUUAUUGUAAAAUAGAUUGCACUGGCACUGCUGGUGUUUUCCUCUGCCAUUCUCUCUCCAGCACUGCAGCCCUUUAUUGUCCACACACACAAUCAAACUAAGAGAAGAAACCAGGAGGACUGUUGGCCGCCAGUUGAGCCAGCUUUCCCACUCAGAGCUGUGGGUUUCUACGGAACCCUCACAUCAAGAGAGAGGAGGGAACUGCUGCCGAGUAGCCUUCCGGUGCACAGGCUUCUCAGUUCAGAGGUCAUCGGUAACUGGAAUGAGAACGGCUAGUCCAAACGAUGAGAGUUACUACAAAAGACCUUCAAGUGUCGCACGGCUCGCCUCAUACUAGUGAACAAUGAGGAGUUGAGAGCCCUACUGCCUCAUCCCACUUCCUACACCAAGGGGAGGAGCCCUUGUGGUAAUGCUUCAAUCAUCAUUAAAGCAGAUUCCUAGUACACACUGGGGUGGCCACAGAACACGCUACCUAAAGCACCACCAAUGAGCUACUGACCCAAAGACUCUGAAGGACGUGAGGACAGGGUGGUAUCCAAAGGAAGAAGCCCAAAGCAUAAACUCACAGUACUAGGGCUACUAAAAUGUCAGCGUGAAAGGAUGUUUGCUAUAUAGGCACUCUAAAUUCAAUUAUCCCAUUUCCACAGCACUUACAAUCCUGGGUGACUCAUUCAACCUUGCAGAGCGUGGUUAUCUUCUAUGCAAAUUGCUGGUGCGGUACCGGCAUGGUGGGAGAGUUACUGUGAGGUAGAUAAUAAUAAGAAUGGAUCUAGAACAUUCGGCCAGUGUCAGCACUCAAUAAGCAUUCAUUUCCUUCUCUGCUCUCUUAAUUCAAAGGUUCUAUUAAUCCAGUAAGGGAUUUUAUAGGUUAUAAUUUGUGCAGUUGGUAGAUUUAGUGGUAAAUCACAGGAUUUAAAAGAGCCAAUGGUGACACCAGGAGUCAGAAGACAUUAAUAAGAGGA